Molecule: ribosomal RNA, 2758 nt
Filed under: Klebsiella pneumoniae 4006
Lineage: Bacteria; Pseudomonadati; Pseudomonadota; Gammaproteobacteria; Enterobacterales; Enterobacteriaceae
Description: bacterial LSU rRNA
Rfam family: Bacterial large subunit ribosomal RNA
Source: RNAcentral
CACUAUCGUUAACUGAAUACAUAGGUUAACGAGGCGAACCGGGGGAACUGAAACAUCUAAGUACCCCGAGGAAAAGAAAUCAACCGAGAUUCCCCCAGUAGCGGCGAGCGAACGGGGAGCAGCCCAGAGUCUGAAUCAGCUUGUGUGUUAGUGGAACGGUCUGGAAAGUCCGACGGUACAGGGUGAUAGUCCCGUACACCAAAAUGCACAGGCUGUGAACUCGAAGAGUAGGGCGGGACACGUGGUAUCCUGUCUGAAUAUGGGGGGACCAUCCUCCAAGGCUAAAUACUCCUGACUGACCGAUAGUGAACCAGUACCGUGAGGGAAAGGCGAAAAGAACCCCGGCGAGGGGAGUGAAAAAGAACCUGAAACCGUGUACGUACAAGCAGUGGGAGCACCUUCGGGUGUGACUGCGUACCUUUUGUAUAAUGGGUCAGCGACUUAUAUUCUGUAGCAAGGUUAACCGUAUAGGGGAGCCGCAGGGAAACCGAGUCUUAACUGGGCGUUAAGUUGCAGGGUAUAGACCCGAAACCCGGUGAUCUAGCCAUGGGCAGGUUGAAGGUUGGGUAACACUAACUGGAGGACCGAACCGACUAAUGUUGAAAAAUUAGCGGAUGACUUGUGGCUGGGGGUGAAAGGCCAAUCAAACCGGGAGAUAGCUGGUUCUCCCCGAAAGCUAUUUAGGUAGCGCCUCGUGAAUUCAUCUUCGGGGGUAGAGCACUGUUUCGGCUAGGGGGUCAUCCCGACUUACCAACCCGAUGCAAACUACGAAUACCGAAGAAUGUUAUCACGGGAGACACACGGCGGGUGCUAACGUCCGUCGUGAAGAGGGAAACAACCCAGACCGCCAGCUAAGGUCCCAAAGUCAUGGUUAAGUGGGAAACGAUGUGGGAAGGCACAGACAGCCAGGAUGUUGGCUUAGAAGCAGCCAUCAUUUAAAGAAAGCGUAAUAGCUCACUGGUCGAGUCGGCCUGCGCGGAAGAUGUAACGGGGCUAAACCAUGCACCGAAGCUGCGGCAGCGACACUAUGUGUUGUUGGGUAGGGGAGCGUUCUGUAAGCCUGCGAAGGUGACCUGUGAGGCAUGCUGGAGGUAUCAGAAGUGCGAAUGCUGACAUAAGUAACGAUAAAGCGGGUGAAAAGCCCGCUCGCCGGAAGACCAAGGGUUCCUGUCCAACGUUAAUCGGGGCAGGGUGAGUCGACCCCUAAGGCGAGGCCGAAAGGCGUAGUCGAUGGGAAACAGGUUAAUAUUCCUGUACUUGGUGUUACUGCGAAGGGGGGACGGAGAAGGCUAUGUUAGCCGGGCGACGGUUGUCCCGGUUUAAGCAUGUAGGCUGAUUGUCCAGGCAAAUCCGGAUAAUCAAGGCUGAGGUGUGAUGACGAGGCACUACGGUGCUGAAGUAACAAAUGCCCUGCUUCCAGGAAAAGCCUCUAAGCAUCAGGUAACAUCAAAUCGUACCCCAAACCGACACAGGUGGUCAGGUAGAGAAUACCAAGGCGCUUGAGAGAACUCGGGUGAAGGAACUAGGCAAAAUGGUGCCGUAACUUCGGGAGAAGGCACGCUGGUGUGUAGGUGAAGUCCCUGCGGAUGGAGCUGAGACCAGUCGAAGAUACCAGCUGGCUGCAACUGUUUAUUAAAAACACAGCACUGUGCAAACACGAAAGUGGACGUAUACGGUGUGACGCCUGCCCGGUGCCGGAAGGUUAAUUGAUGGGGUUAUCCGUAAGGAGAAGCUCUUGAUCGAAGCCCCGGUAAACGGCGGCCGUAACUAUAACGGUCCUAAGGUAGCGAAAUUCCUUGUCGGGUAAGUUCCGACCUGCACGAAUGGCGUAAUGAUGGCCAGGCUGUCUCCACCCGAGACUCAGUGAAAUUGAACUCGCUGUGAAGAUGCAGUGUACCCGCGGCAAGACGGAAAGACCCCGUGAACCUUUACUAUAGCUUGACACUGAACAUUGAGCCUUGAUGUGUAGGAUAGGUGGGAGGCUUUGAAGCGUGGACGCCAGUCUGCGUGGAGCCAACCUUGAAAUACCACCCUUUAAUGUUUGAUGUUCUAACGUUGGCCCCUUACCGGGGUUGCGGACAGUGUCUGGUGGGUAGUUUGACUGGGGCGGUCUCCUCCCAAAGCGUAACGGAGGAGCACGAAGGUUAGCUAAUCCUGGUCGGACAUCAGGAGGUUAGUGCAAUGGCAUAAGCUAGCUUGACUGCGAGCGUGACGGCGCGAGCAGGUGCGAAAGCAGGUCAUAGUGAUCCGGUGGUUCUGAAUGGAAGGGCCAUCGCUCAACGGAUAAAAGGUACUCCGGGGAUAACAGGCUGAUACCGCCCAAGAGUUCAUAUCGACGGCGGUGUUUGGCACCUCGAUGUCGGCUCAUCACAUCCUGGGGCUGAAGUAGGUCCCAAGGGUAUGGCUGUUCGCCAUUUAAAGUGGUACGCGAGCUGGGUUUAGAACGUCGUGAGACAGUUCGGUCCCUAUCUGCCGUGGGCGCUGGAGAAUUGAGGGGGGCUGCUCCUAGUACGAGAGGACCGGAGUGGACGCAUCACUGGUGUUCGGGUUGUCAUGCCAAUGGCACUGCCCGGUAGCUAAAUGCGGAAGAGAUAAGUGCUGAAAGCAUCUAAGCACGAAACUUGCCCCGAGAUGAGUUCUCCCUGAGACUAUAAGUCUCCUGAAGGAACGUUGAAGACGACGACGUUGAUAGGCCGGGUGUGUAAGCGCAGCGAUGCGUUGAGCUAACCGGUACUAAUGAACCGUGAGGCUUAACCUU